AAGGACCUGAACCUUUCAUUCCACUACCCUUAAAGAACCUUGACAUUGUUCAAUCGGAGGAACGACGGAUCUUCCCAUUUCGCCUCUUCAAGUUACAAGUUCGCCCAUUGCACCAACCAUUGUGAAACUUCUCUAUUUCUUCGCUUCUCUACCCUACGAUCCAGCACUACAAUGGGUUCAGUCAAGACCCUACUAUCAUUAGCACAAUAUGGUGGAUCUUGAGAUGCAAAAAUCUGAUCCGCAAUCUUCUUUUUGAGUUGCGAAACGUGAAAAAUUGGAUUAAUUUUGGAUCCUUGUGGUAGCUUGAGUUCAUAUGCAACUGGACUGAUCUUUUUUACAACCUCGUUCGGACCGAAAUACCUCGCUGAAAACUUUAAAUUUUGGCGAAUAGCGACCGAGCUGUGACUGUAAGGUUGUAAUUUAAAAAAUACCCAGUCACCCACUUCGAAUUUCGUUCAAUUCUUUGGUUAUCUGCGAAGUGUUUCAUUCUAUUCUACGCUUUGAUUAGAUUAUCCUUUAAAACUUUACCCAUUAAUUGCCGAUCUCUAAGUACUUGAUCCACUGUGUCUAGCUUGGUUUAAGAAAUGAGUUCAAAGGUCGGUUGAGGCGGAUCGUAGCCGUACAAGGCUUUGAAUGGGUACAUUUUCAAAGAACUGUGGUAAUUUGAAUUGUAUCAGAACUCCAUCUGGGCUAACCAUUUGCUCCAUUCUGCUGGUUUAUGACCCGUCAUACAUCUCAGAACACAGAUGAAAUCCAUGGCAACAUGUUCCUAGGCCCUCUUUGGGAUAGGUAAUGGCUGUAAUAAUCUUGGGUGCAGACAUUCGCUUUGGUGAUCCGACAGCUUAAGAUUUCCCCUCUGCUAUUUGGAGAACUCCAUUGUUCUGGAGUCCAGAAUUUGGUACAAAUCCUUCUCGGAUAUAUAUUUAUAUGCCUAUGUGGACUAAGGGUACGACGGGGCCCUGUCCCGUCAUAUGUUACGUUACUGUUGAUACUCUUAGAGGUCUGUGGACAUAUGUGUGGGUUGUGUAUGGGUUCUGUUCAGCUGUGUCUAUACGAUGUGUUGUGGUAUGAUGUUCGUAUAUGAUGGCGGCCUUGUCGGCUUGCAUAUGAUAUUAUUAUAUGAUGGCAGCCUUGUCGGCUUGCAUUUAUAUGAAUAUUUAUAUGACAGUUCUGACACCAUGGUUUGGUCGUUAUAAGAUCCAUAUUGAGUUUGA
Molecule: long non-coding RNA, 1214 nt
Organism: Lycium barbarum (goji berry)
Lineage: Eukaryota; Viridiplantae; Streptophyta; Magnoliopsida; Solanales; Solanaceae
Exons: 3
Source: RefSeq, a predicted model, not a curated record